This 429-nucleotide ribosomal RNA is filed under the name Bacteroidota bacterium. RNAcentral describes it as "Bacteroidetes bacterium partial 16S ribosomal RNA". It matches the Rfam family "Bacterial small subunit ribosomal RNA", at positions 355 to 776 of the family's 1533-position model. Lineage: Bacteria; Pseudomonadati; Bacteroidota. The record is from RNAcentral.
UAGGGAAUCUUCCGCAAUGGACGCAAGUCUGACGGAGCAACGCCGCGUGAGUGAAGAAGGAUUUCGGUUCGUAAAACUCUGUUGUUAGAGAAGAACAGCGCAUAGAGUAACUGUUAUGCGUGUGACGGUAUCUAACCAGAAAGCCACGGCUAACUACGUGCCAGCAGCCGCGGUAAUACGUAGGUGGCAAGCGUUGUCCGGAUUUAUUGGGCGUAAAGCGAGCGCAGGCGGUCAAUUAAGUCUGAUGUGAAAGCCCCCGGCUCAACCGGGGAGGGUCAUUGGAAACUGGUUGACUUGAGUGCCGAAGAGGAGAGUGGAAUUCCAUGUGUAGCGGUGAAAAGCGUAGGUAUAUGGGGGAACACCAGUGGCGAAGGCGACUCUCUGGUCUGUAACUGACGCUGAGGCUCGAAAGCGUGGGUAGCAAACAGG